GGACCCUUAGCUCAGUUGGUUAGAGCGCCUCCCUGACACGGAGGAGGCCAGUAGUUCGAGUCUACUAGGGUCCACCA
This 77-nucleotide transfer RNA is filed under the name Candidatus Sulfopaludibacter sp. SbA3. RNAcentral's name for it is "tRNA-Val". It matches the Rfam family "tRNA". Rfam says of the family: Transfer RNA (tRNA) molecules are approximately 80 nucleotides in length. Lineage: Bacteria; Pseudomonadati; Acidobacteriota; Terriglobia; Bryobacterales; Solibacteraceae. The record is from RNAcentral.